Long non-coding RNA from Bubalus bubalis (water buffalo), 6359 nucleotides. RefSeq lists it as uncharacterized. The transcript has 6 exons. NCBI's taxonomy places the organism in Eukaryota, Metazoa, Chordata, Mammalia, Artiodactyla, Bovidae. The record is from RefSeq and is a predicted model, not a curated record.
CCGCGCCGCGCAUGCGCGUCUCCCGUCCCCGCCUCCCGCCGCGCGCACCGCCAACGGCUCCUCCGGUCGUGAUCGUCCUGCCGGGCCCCCCAGUCCCCUGCUCUGGGGCCUGUGUCCCCUUGAGCUCCGACUCCACCCCCACCGCAGCCAGGCUGGCCGCCGAGCGCUGCUGGGCUGGGUGGUCCUGGAGACCAGGAGACAGGACAGUCACCGUGCAAACCCCCAGCCCUCCGUCUGGACCCCAGGGCCUGGCUGGCACCCUCUCCCAAGGUCAGAGUCACCGAUCCCGGUUUCAGUGGAGGAAACGGAGGCUCAGAGAGUCACCAUAUGAGCUGGCCUGUCACGGGCCGUGACGUGGCCCCGCCGUGGGUUUGAGUCCAGGCCAACAUGGCCCCAAAGGCUGUCCUUGCACAGGAGCCCGAGGCUCUGAGCCCAGCCUUGGAGGCUGACAUGGAUGCAGGGGGUCCCUCACCUGCUGAUUGGAGAGCAACGAGAAGCUGACGUUGCAGACCCUGAGACCCAGCCCUCUGUGCCUGAGGCUGCCAAGGGCGUGUGGAGCUGAAGACAAGGGCUGCUGGAGGCAGAGGGCCGUGGGGAUGCUGAGGACGGAAUGUAUACUCCUGGCUCCCGAGGAGUGGAGGAUCAGCAGAGCCCAGACCCUGCAGGGCACCCCAUGCCAGCGUCCAACUCCAGGGGCUUCUAGGAGCUGGGGCAUCUUGGUCCCCUCUGGAUCCUGGAAUGGGAGCUUCUGCUGGUCCUGGGCUCCGUGUUGGGGAACUGGUGGCUGGAUGGAAGGACCGGCUUUGCCUUUGUCAGAUCUGAUGGAUGGAUGUUCUUGAGUGCCCAAGGGCAUAGGCACCAGGGACCCAAGCCUGGAAGGUGUGAGGGAAGCACCCAGAGGCAGAGUCUGGUGGUGAGCCCAACAGAACUCGGAACCGGUAAGCAGGCGCCUCAUCCUAGAGAAGCCCCCGCCCAGCUGGCCUGGCCGGCGCCCUUGAUGAGCAGCGUGUCCUCCUGUGCGUCCUGAGGUCCCAAGGCCGCAGCCACAGACAUUGUCUGGUCAUUUGCCCAGAAGAACCAAAGUCUCAGGCUGGAGACCCCUGCUCUAAGUGUGGCCCCAGAGUCAGAAGACAGAAGGAAGCGCCUGGCUCCUCCUGCGGCCAAACAGACAAACAUGCAGAGAGCUGGGAGGAUAGACCACGGGCCGGGACAACGUCCCUCGCAUCCCAGGGCCAGAGAGCAGUUUGACACCCCUGUGGUCCCCAGAUCUUGAAAGUCAGUGUUCUAAAAAGGGACAGAGGACAGACCCGUGCAUGGCUAACGAGGCGACGCAUGUGGUGGGUGUACGUCCGAGACGCUUGGCCUCCGGGACACGGGAACGUAAACACUGGAGACGGCUGUGUCGCCCCUGCUUCGGCAGGUUUCCAGGCUGGUUGAUGACCAGCGCUGGGGACAACGUGAGGAAGAGAGGUCAGCAGACCCCGGCAGGGAGGUGUGGAGGACAUGCCUCUCUGGGAGAACCGUGCGUGGGACCCCAGGGCUCCACGGGUGCAUCCCUUUACCUGCAGAGCGAGUCCUAGGAGCCCACCCACAGGGACCCUCGCGUGAUGGUGUGCACACGUGUGCCUGUCCACUUGGGGUGUCAGGGAGGGUCCCAGGGGCGUGUACCCUUCUGAAACGUGGUUCCCCCAGCUGCACUCCGACCAGUCCUCUUCCUCCUCCACAUUUUCUGGGGCCCCAAAUCAGAAUUUCCGAAGAGCCCCUACUAUGGGACGUGGGCCAUUUGCCAUUUUUCAUUCUCAGAAUCAAGCUGAACGGAACAUCUGUGCCCAUAAAUUACUACUUCAGGAAGAACCCGUGAGGUGGAUUUUCUGGGUCAAAACAUGCAGUUUUUCCAACACUGGCCGCAAUUUCCAACACUGGCGGCCUCUGCCCGCUGUGGGCCUUGCUUGGCAAAGCGGGGCCGAGGGAAAGAGAGAGACCCCGAGGGCUGAGACCUCAGGGAGGAGGAGGAGGAGUGAGAGAGCAGGUGAUGAAGGGACCUGUGACUGACCUGCCCGGAAGGGACUGUCUCUGCCCUUGGCCCCAGACCCGGCCCCGCCCAGUGCUAGAGCUGAUCUGAACCUGGGACGGAGCUGCUCAGGUUCAAAGGGGCUCUGCUCCUAGAGCUGGAGCUGAUGCAAGAGCCGGUGUCAGACAGCUCCGGCCCCAGGGGAGGCGUGCUAGCCGGGUCUACCUCCGACGGUGGAGGCCCGGCCCCGCAGCUGCUGCAGUUCAGCGGCUCUGCCUCUGGAGGGGCCUCUGAGGCCGGCGCUGACUCCUGGGCGGGCGCUGGUGUGGCUCCAGCUGGCGUCACGGCGCCGAGCCGCUGCGGGUGUGGCCUGAGAGCUGUCCCUGGUGCUGGAGUGGGGCUGGCCUGGGGCUCACUCUGGCUCUCGUCCGGGGCUGGGGCUGGUCUCUGUGCCUCUGGCUGCAUAGCCAGUCCUGGCUCUCACUCCAUAACUGGCCCUCAGCCUGGUGGUCGAGUCGGCCAUAGCUCUGGCACCGGGUCCGCCUCUGGAAUCGCGGUCAGGGCAGAUGCUGGCCCCCCAGCAGGCGUGGAAUCCGGCCCAGGAACCGAGAAUAGAGCUGCUCUGUGCCUGAAAUGGCAUCACACUGGGGCCAGAGCUUGGCCUAGCUCUGGUGUGGCUGCCGGAGUGCCUUCUCCCAAGCCGACACUGGCUUCUGGCAGCCAAGCUGGCCCUGGCUCUGGAGCUGGCCCUAGAGCCAUGACUGCAGCCGGCUCUACCUCUGAAGCCGGUCCUGGAGCCGCUGCCUCCUGGAGCCUCACACUGGCUCUGUGCCGGUUCUCCUGAAUGGGCACUAGAACUAUCAUGGGGCUGGUGCAGGAGUGGGUGAGAGGUCUGUGUCUAUGUCUGGAGUCGGUGUGAUGGCUGAUGUCCAGGCUGCCUCCGGCCUGUGGGACAGCACCAGCCUUCCCGGGAGCAGCACUGGGGCGGCCGCUGGUACUGCAGUGGGAGCCAACACUGGCUGGAGCCCUGGAGGAGGUAACAGAACUGCCUCUGGGAGUGGUUGGUGCUGGAGCCCGUGCGGGAAGUGACCCUGAGUCUGGAGCUCUGGGGGGGCUGGCUCCAGAGAUCACCUGCGCUCUUGUGCUGCUGCUGGGAGUUGGCUGGAGCUCUGGUACUGCCCUGGAGCACUCAAGUCUCUGGGGCUCAUCCUCCCGCAGGCUCCGGUGCUGGCACCAGCUUCAGAGGGAGCUCUGCUCAAGAGCUGCCAGGAGGUCUCGUUGUGUUCCCAGAGCCGCGCUGGAGCAGACCGAGUGCAAUUCUGUUGCCCUGGGAUCUGGGUGGGGUCUGAUCCAGAGUCCAGGGCUGGUGCCCAAGCUGGUUCUGGAGCUUCCCGGAGUUCGGGGGCUUUCCCACUAGCUGAUGUCGGAACUCGUUCUCGCUCCGGAGCUGACUCUGGAUCGAGGGAUAAAGCUGGCUCCCGUUCUUGGCGGCACUGGCUCUGAGCCUAGAGGUGGCCCCGGGUUUGGCUCUAGCCCUGGUGCCGCACGACCUCUAGCUGUCGGGCGUGUGCCAGAAAGGCCUCUAGCUGCAGACCAGGCUCUGGCGCUGGGGCGAGACCAGGCGCUGGCGGUGGUGCCGGCUUGCGAGCUGGCAGUCCAGCUGGCCAUGGAGCCGCAAGACAACAAAAUGUUCACCAGCCUCGAGUCCAUGGACUGUACACGCGUGUGUGUGUGCGUGCAUCAAGUACACACCUUUUCUUCCCUUAUCUUCUUACCACAUAGCAUAAGGUAGAAUGUACGAUGUACCCGCAGUAGUUACCCUCACAUCCCAGUGCUUAAGUUGCUGGGCGUCGAGGAGAGACACGCAAGCCUCCCGCCAGCAUGCUGCAUGCCCUGGGAGCGGGUCUGUGUGUUUGAGUCACACCUGGGACCUGUGUUUUGUUGGGAAGAGUGGCUCGCUUACUGUCCUCACUCCGAGACUCGGCACGGCUCCAGCAGAGCUGUGGGUCCCACGUCAGGAGAGGGCGGGCUGAAACGGUGGCCUCACCUCAUUCGGUCAGACUGGUGAUUUAGUCCACACGUGUUGCACAGGUGUGCCUGACGUGUACAACUAACUGCCUUCAAGAAAAGAAGUGAAAAGAGUGAGUGUUAGUCCCUCAGUCGUAUCCAACUCUUUGUGACCCUCUGUCCAUGGGAUUCUCCAGGCAAGAACACUGGAGUGGGCUGCCAUGCCCUCCUCCAGGGGAUCUUCCUGACCCAGAGAUCAAACCUAGAUCUCCUGCGUUGCAGGUGGAUCCUUUACUGAGCCACCAGGGGAGCCCAAGUAAAGAAGAUUACUGUCAAUAAUGUGGGUGGGCAUCCUCAGUUGAAGGCCUUAUGAGCAAAAAGCAAGGUUUCCUGGACAAAGAGGUCUGCCUCCAGACGCAUCUAGAUGCCUACAAGCCUGGCCUGCAGACUUUGGACUUCUCCACCCACCAAUGCACAUGAGCCAACACGUUAAAAAUCAGUUUUCACUCUGAGUACACAUCCACACACGCGUGUGUGUGUACACAGGUGUGUCCUGGUGGAGGGCCCUGACACGCACUGUCCUUCCUGCUCCCCCUUUACCAUCACUGUUCUCUGAGGCCCUGGACUCAAUGCCCAGUGGCCUGCAACCGUGGUGUGGCCUCCUGGGCUCCACCAGCACUGCCUGGGGCUAUGAGCAGAACUGAGCUGACGCUGUCCUGGAUGAAGAUACACGGAUGACCGCUUACUCGUGGCAAGUCAGAACGUGGUCAGAGAGCUUGUACUCGUGAGGUCAGCCGAUGACACGUCAGACUCCUGGAACAGAAAGGCAGACAGGUAAGGGCUCAGGGAAAUAAACUAAACCCAAGAUUUUUCAAAAUGCAGACUUCCACAACAGGAAGGUCUGCUCAGAAUAUGUUACCAUCCCUUUAACACAAGGCUCUGCCUGGCCACCGUCACCUUUCGGCACACAGCUUAGUCCAUGCUGUUUCCUGCACAACGCUGUCCUCUGAUGCCCAGCAUUCUCACUCUACAGUCUAACAGAAGAGGCAGUCGUGUGUGUGCAGGCGAAAGGAGCCACCACUCCAGGAAUUGUCAGUUAUGUCUGAACUUUGAGCUUGUCUGUUUGAAUGUCUCUUGUUUGGGGUGUCCAGUAGGCUGGCCCAGCCCCAGUCACACAGCAGCCAGGGCAAGGAUUCCAGGACCAAGAGAUCUACACGAGUCCUUCAGCCAUCUUGCAGCACAUGUUUAGUUUGGGGAUUCUGGUUUGCUUCCAGGGAGGUUCUGGGUUUGGUGAGGGAGAAAGAGGAAGACAGGGAGGCAGAUGAUUUCAUGGCUUAAAAGGGGCUGUGAAAGCUUUUCCCACUAAGUGCAGAAACGCUAUUUGACAAAACCCAACACCCUCUCGUGAGAAAAGCACUCAAGAAACUAGAAACAGAGAGCAUUUCCUGAGGACACCCUGCAGCUCACGUCGCACUCGGUGGGGAAGACUGGAGCCUCCCCAGGGGGCAGGAAAGAGGAACAGGGACCAGUCCCGCCAGCUCACUGCUGCGCUUCACUGAAGGCUUUAGCCUCGUCCAUCAGGUAAGAAAAAAUAAAGUCAUCUAAGCUGGAAAGGAUGAAGCAAAACUAUGUCUGUUUGCAAAUGUCAUGACCACGUACAUAGGAAAUCACAGAGAAUACACAGGAAAACUAUCAGAACUAAUAAACCAUUCAGCAAGGUUUCAGGACACAGUGAAAUUGUGAUAGUCACCCAGUCGUGUUCUACUCUUUGCGACCCCAUGGACUGCAGCCUGCCAGGCCCCUCUGUCCAUGGGAUUCUCCAGGUGAGAAUACUGGAGUGGAUUGCCAUUUCCUUCUCCAGCAGCAUGCAGGAUAAACAGCACAAAAUUCAAUUGCAUCAGAAUGUCAACGGGGGCAGCCAUAGUGGAAAACGGAAAAUGGUAUGGAAGUUCCUCAAAAAAUUAAAAAUAUGUAGAAUUACUAUGUGGUCCUGCAAGCCCACUUCUGGGUGUUUAUCCAGAGGAAAUUAAAACACUAAUUCAGAAAGAUAUCUGCACCCCCUCUUCACUGCAGCACUGCUUACCGUAGCCAAGAUACAGAAGCAGCCUGAGCAUCCGCUGAGGGAUGGAUAAAGAGGAUGUGUGUGUAUAAUGGAAUAUUUAGCCCUAAAAGAAGGAAAUCCUGCCAUUUGCUGUAACAUGGAUGACCCUUGAAACAAGUUGAAGUGAAGUUGCUCAGUCAAAACAAGUUGAAGUGAAGUGAAGUUGCUCAGUUGUGUCUGACUCCUUGCAACCCCAUGGACUGUAGCCGGCCAGGCUCCUCUGUCCAUGGGAUUUUCCAG